RNAcentral lists this ribosomal RNA (1878 nucleotides) under human gut metagenome. RNAcentral's name for it is "bacterial LSU rRNA". It matches the Rfam family "Bacterial large subunit ribosomal RNA", at positions 494 to 2357 of the family's 2925-position model. The record is from RNAcentral.
ACCAGUACCGUGAGGGAAAGGUGAAAAGCACCCCGGGAGGGGAGUGAAACAGUACCUGAAACCGUGCGCCCACGAGCAGUCGGAGCACCUAUAUGGUGUGACGGCGUGCCUUUUGUAGAAUGAGCCAGCGAGUCGCUGGCGCGGGGCGAGGUUAACCGAAAGGGAGCCGGAGCGAAAGCGAGCCUUAACAGGGCGACUUGAGUCCCGCGCCGCGGACGCGAAGCCGGGUGAGCUAUCCGUGGGCAGGCUGAAGCGGGGGUAAGACCCCGUGGAGGGCCGAACGCACGUCGGUUGAAAACGGCGGCGAUGACCUGCGGAUAGGGGUGAAAGGCCAAUCAAACCCGGAGAUAUCUCGUUCUCCCCGAAAUAGCUUUAGGGCUAGCGUCGCGCGUUCACCGCCGGAGGUAGAGCACCGGAUGGACGAGGGGGCUUCGCCGCCUACCGAAUCCAACCGAACUCCGAAUGCCGGCGGCCCAGAGCGCGGCAGUCAGAGCAUGUGGGCUAAGCUGUGUGCUCGAGAGGGAAACAGCCCGGACCGCCCGCUAAGGUCCCCAAGUUCCAGCCGAGUGGCAAAGGAUGUGCGUCCGCCCAGACAACCAGGAUGUUGGCUUAGAAGCAGCCAUGCAUUCAAAGAGUGCGUAACAGCUCACUGGUCGAGUGGACAUGCGCCGACAAUACACGGGGCUAAGCUGGACACCGAAGCGGCGGGAUUUUGAUUUUCAGAAUCGGUAGGGGAGCUUCCCAUGGGCGGGGAAGCCGCCGGGCGACCGGCGGUGGAGCGCAUGGGAGUGAGAAUGCUGGCAUGAGUAGCGAGAGACGAGAGAGUAACUCGUCCGCCGUGAACCCGAGGUUUCCUGGGCAAGGCUAAUCCUCCCAGGGUCAGUCGGGGGCUAAGGCGAGGCCGGGAGGCGUAGCCGACGCGCAGCAGGCAGACAUUCCUGCACCGCGCACGCGGCGCUACGACCGACGGGGCGACGGAUGGGGGUGGCUCGGCGGGGUUCUGGACGUCCCCGUGAUGGAGCGCGGCCCGCGGACCAGGGAAAUCCGGUCCGCACGAGGGCGAGGCUCCGGACGAAGCGAUCAAGCGAAGCGAGUGAGCCCGAGGUCCCUAGAAAAACCCCUAGGCAGGCGCGUGCGCGCCCGUACCGCAAACCGACACAGGUGGGUGGGUAGAACAUACCGAGGCGAUCGGGUCAACCAUGGUCAAGGAACUCGGCACAAUGGCCCCGUAACUUCGGGAGAAGGGGUGCCCGCGCGUACGUGAACGGACUUGCUCCGGGAGCGGAGGCGGGCCGCAGUGGAGAGGCCCAAGCGACUGUUUACCAAAAACACAGGACUCUGCAGAAGCCGCAAGGCGACGUAUAGGGUCUGACGCCUGCCCGGUGCCGGAAGGUCACGCGGAGGAGUUAGCGCAUCGCGCGAAGCCCCGAAGCCAAGCCCCGGUAAACGGCGGCCGUAACUAUAACGGUCCUAAGGUAGCGAAAUUCCUUGUCGGGUAAGUUCCGACCUGCACGAAAGGCGCAACGACUUGGGCGCUGUCUCGACCAUGGACCCGGUGAAAUUGCACUGGUCGUGAAGAUGCGACUUACCCGCGGAAGGACGGAAAGACCCCGUGAACCUUCACUGCAGCUUGGCAUUGGCCGCUGGUCCCGCGUGUAGAGGAUAGGCAGGAGGCACAGAUCCGGAGGCGCCAGCCCCCGGGGAGCCGCCCUUGGAAUACUGCCCUCGCGCGACCGGCGUCCUAACCCGAGGCCGUCGACCGGCUCGGGGACCGUGCCAGGCGGGCAGUUUGACUGGGGCGGUCGCCUCCUAAAGGGUAACGGAGGCGCGCGAAGGUCCGCUCGGGACGGUCGGCAACCGUCCUUUUGAAUGCAAGAG